RNAcentral lists this non-coding RNA (137 nucleotides) under Gelatoporia subvermispora B. RNAcentral's name for it is "Eukaryotic large subunit ribosomal RNA". It matches the Rfam family "Eukaryotic large subunit ribosomal RNA", at positions 1 to 142 of the family's 3401-position model. The record is from Rfam by way of RNAcentral. Lineage: Eukaryota; Fungi; Basidiomycota; Agaricomycetes; Polyporales; Gelatoporiaceae.
UGACCUCGGAUCAGGUAGGAAUACCCGCUGAACUUAAGCAUAUCAAUAAGCGGAGGAAAAGAAACCAACAGGGAUUGCCCUAGUAACGGCGAGUGAAGCGGCAACAGCUCAAAUUUGAAAUCUGGCUUCGGCCCGAG